Molecule: long non-coding RNA, 336 nt
Organism: Rattus norvegicus (Norway rat)
Lineage: Eukaryota; Metazoa; Chordata; Mammalia; Rodentia; Muridae
Source: Ensembl
UACCCCUGCAAGGGUGUCCUAACCUUACCUCUCUACUAUUUUCUGUUCUGUUGAUUCUAUCACCUGCCAUCUUCUACUUUGUGCCUCAAGGUUUAGAUCAAAUCAGCCUUUUUCUCAAUGCUACAGAGAAAGGAUCCUAUUUCAUAGAUAUUUAUGUUUUAGUCUUUGUUACAAGUCUUCCCAUAAAAUGCUUCAGAUUACAACAUUUAGGGAAACUGAAAAGCAUUAGUUACCAUCUGAGCAAGGGCUUGAAGAUGUGGUUUUGGCAGUCAACAGAGCUACUGGAAAUCAUAAUGGAAUUAAGAGAAGCCAUCUCAUCUGAAAGACAUUUUCAGG